Molecule: long non-coding RNA, 480 nt
Organism: Boleophthalmus pectinirostris (great blue-spotted mudskipper)
Lineage: Eukaryota; Metazoa; Chordata; Actinopteri; Gobiiformes; Gobiidae
Exons: 5
Source: RefSeq, a predicted model, not a curated record
GACGUGUCGAACUCCAGCGCGCGCUCCGGCACCACCGCUUUCGUUUGUGGAAAAGCAGAAAAGAAAAGCGUGUCCGUCCUUCGCGCGUUUGUCUGGAGUAACAAACCGAACCUGAACCGGCCCGGGGUGGAAACUUGGAGCUGAAGUGGCUAAAGUCGGAGUCCUUUUUUUUCCAUUUCCACUGACAGUUCGCGCACACACGGGAAAAGAAGCGAAAGAGCGGAGCGGAGCGCGCACGCAGACUGCCACAUUGAGCCCAGCGCCACUGCCUCUGAUCAGGACCACCUCAGAACUAUUUUUGCUGCAGUGGAGGACGGUAAACACAGACUGGGACAGGAGCUCCACACUGACUCCUGACCUCACAGACCCCGAGCAGCAGCAGCAGCAGCAGCACGAGCUUCUCUCAGCUUCACUCUCAAAGACAAGAUAUAAUCACAGCGUGGAGCAGUGAGGACGGCCGGAGGAGAGAGGCUGCAAAAC